Molecule: long non-coding RNA, 801 nt
Organism: Cervus elaphus (red deer)
Lineage: Eukaryota; Metazoa; Chordata; Mammalia; Artiodactyla; Cervidae
Exons: 4
Source: RefSeq, a predicted model, not a curated record
UUCCUUCCCAGGCGCCAACCUCAGUGCUUCUGGAUCCGGGAAAAACCGGCCCCUUUCCUCGCGCUCUCGCGCGUCUCGGCCACUUCCGGUAGCUAACGGUUCCAGAGCUCCCGGGCCGGCCUUUGCGGCCGGGUAAACGGCGCUGUGAGCUGGGCCCAGCGCCAGGGGCUGGAAAGCGCCGGGAGACGAGGGCUGGCGGGUUCAUCAAGCUCUCUCUCCAGAUCCUCCAGCACAGUCACUGCCUCCUCUCCAGUCUCUGGAUGGUGUGCCUGCACCCAUGCUUGCAGGUCCCUGGGGAGAAUGCUCAGGAAUUGUUCAAGCACCAGCAGGUCUAAAAUCUGCUCUUUUGUGUGGCAUUCUGGCCUCAGCCACUGGCGGCAAAGGUCCCAGAGCUGGGAGCCGGGAGAGACUCACCUCACGCCAGGAGGAACAGGUUUUCAAACACAAACCUCACUACAGGCCAUGAACUUCCUGAGUAGCUGAGUCUUCUUCAGAUACUCCUGACUUCAGUCACUCGUCAGCUUCAGAGAAUCAACUCACCAGUCCCUUGAAGCACUGGCUGGGGUUGAGUGGUUGAACACCAGACAAAAUGAGGCUUCCAACCAUUGUCACGGAUAUCCUGUUAAAAUUCUGUCUCUGCUGUUGGCUUAGGUAUGUCCUUCCUCUACUGGGAUAAAGCCUCUCUGACCUCUUUACCAAGACAUAAGCAGACAGUUUGUGUAUGACAAGGAGAGCUUUCCCUCUUCCCCUUCUAGUUAUAUCUCCCAGAAAGACUAAGAAACAAAACAAAGCAAAAUAAAA